Molecule: ribosomal RNA, 251 nt
Filed under: uncultured bacterium
Lineage: Bacteria
Description: partial 16S ribosomal RNA
Rfam family: Bacterial small subunit ribosomal RNA
Source: RNAcentral
UACGUAGGGGGCGAGCGUUAUCCGGAUUUACUGGGUGUAAAGGGAGCGUAGACGGCAAUGCAAGCCAGGAGUGAAACCCCGGGGCUCAACCUCGGGCAUGCUCUUGGAACUGUAAAGCUAGAGUGCGGGAGGGGCAGGCGGAAUUCCUGGUGUAGCGGUGAAAUGCGUAGAUAUCAGGAGGAACACCGGCGGCGAAGGCGGCCUGCUGGACCGCGACUGACGUUGAGGCUCGAAAGCGUGGGGAGCGAACA